RNAcentral lists this signal recognition particle RNA (295 nucleotides) under Aotus nancymaae (Ma's night monkey). RNAcentral's name for it is "Metazoan signal recognition particle RNA (ENSANAG00000001832.1)". It matches the Rfam family "Metazoan signal recognition particle RNA". From Rfam's summary of the family: The signal recognition particle (SRP) is a universally conserved ribonucleoprotein. It is involved in the co-translational targeting of proteins to membranes. Lineage: Eukaryota; Metazoa; Chordata; Mammalia; Primates; Aotidae. The record is from RNAcentral.
GGCGGCAGUGGUGCAUGCCUGUAGUCCCAGCUACUCAGGAGGCUGAGGGGGCAGGACUGCUUGAGCCCAGGAGUUCUGGGCUGUAUGUGCUAUGCCGAUCAGGGUGUCUGCACUAAGUUUGGCAUCAAUAUGGUGGCCUCCCGGGAGCGGGGGACCAUCAGGUUGCCUAAGGAGGGUUGAACCGGCCCAGGUCAGAAACGGAGCAGGUCAAAACUCCUGUGCUGAUCAGUAGUGGGAUCGCGCCUGUGAAGAGCCACUGCACUCCAGCCUGGGCAACAUAGCAAGACCCAUCUCU